This is a long non-coding RNA of Nothoprocta perdicaria, 546 nucleotides long. RefSeq lists it as uncharacterized. The transcript is spliced from 2 exons. NCBI's taxonomy places the organism in Eukaryota, Metazoa, Chordata, Aves, Tinamiformes, Tinamidae. The record is from RefSeq and is a predicted model, not a curated record.
GACCUGGACAAAAAGGAACCAAAACCUCCUUCAGUUAUAAGGRAACUUGAAUUGAGAAGUGUUUUAGAAAUCAACAGGAUAUAAAAAUGAGUCUCUCAACCAACAAGUGAAGAUGUUUGGACAUGAGGAGGGUAUUUUCUACGAGCUUUAGGCUGUCACAAAGCUGGGCAUUCACAUUGUAGUAUCAUGUCACGUGACACUAGCAAGCAGAAAUCUUGCUUCCAAGUGAUUUGCCAAAAAUGGGAAUUCCUGAAACUAGAAAGCUUGAGGCUUGUUGACAUGAAGUGCAUUCAACACGAGUUGGAGUCACGUAUCUUCCAGCUUUCUUGACCUGGGCAGAGGCCAGGGACUGCCUCUAGGCCUGAACUUAUAGGAACAUUUUUUGAGGCACAGUCUUUCUAGACUUAUUUUCUGAGCUGAGAUAUAUGGAGUUGCUCUUCUCCAACUUCUGCAGUCUAGUAUUCUCCAGAAGAAGCUCUUUUAUCUUGACUGCCAGAAGUGGGGUGACCUAUGAUAGAAGAGAAUGACUUGUUAUGUCCCUCUUCU